UGAACGCUAGCGUACAGGCUUAACACAUGCAAGUCGAGGGGCAGCAUUGGGAUAGCUUGCUAGUUCCAGAUGGGCACCGGCGCACGGGUGAGUAACGCGUAUCCAACCUUCCCCAUAGUAGGGCACAGCCCGGCGAAAGUCGGAUUAAUUCCCUAUGUUGUCCAGAGAGGACAUCUGACCUGGACGAAAGAUUCAUCGCUAUGGGAUGGGGAUGCGUCUGAUUAGGUUGCAGGCGGGGUAACGGCCCACCUGGCCGACGAUCAGUAGGGGUUCUGAGAGGAAGGUCCCCCACAUUGGAACUGAGACACGGUCCAAACUCCUACGGGAGGCAGCAGUGAGGAAUAUUGGUCAAUGGACGGAAGUCUGAACCAGCCAAGUAGCGUGCAGGAAAAGACGGCCCUAUGGGUUGUAAACUGCUUUUAUCAGGGGAUAAAGUGAGGUAUGUAUACCUUUUUGCAUGUACCUGAUGAAUAAGGACCGGCUAAUUCCGUGCCAGCAGCUGC
Molecule: ribosomal RNA, 503 nt
Filed under: uncultured bacterium
Lineage: Bacteria
Description: bacterial SSU rRNA
Rfam family: Bacterial small subunit ribosomal RNA
Source: RNAcentral